Bubalus bubalis (water buffalo) is the source of this 439-nucleotide non-coding RNA. The record is from the annotation of a RefSeq genome assembly. NCBI's taxonomy places the organism in Eukaryota, Metazoa, Chordata, Mammalia, Artiodactyla, Bovidae.
CCCAGAACCCCACCUCCAGCCCAGGAGGCUCAGGAGGUUGCAUCCUGCGAGGGUCCCUACCAUGGCCUGGAUGCUGCUUCUGCUCGGGCUGCUCGCUUAUGGCUCAGGGGUAGAAGCUCAGACUGUGAUCCAGGAACCGUCACUGUCGGUGUCUCCAGGAGGGACGGUCACCCUCACCUGUGGACUGAGCUCUGGGUCAGUCACUACUUACAACGAACCCAGCUGGUACCAGCAGACCCCAGGCCAGGCUCCCAGAAAUGUUAUCUACAACACAAACACCCGCGCCUCUGGGGUCCCUGAUCGCUUCUCUGCCUCCAUCUCUGGGAACAAAGCCACCCUCACCAUCACGGGGGCCCAGCCCGAGGACGAGGCUGACUAUCACUGCUUGCUGUACCGGGCAGUGGUAGUUACAGCUGCACAGUGAGGGGAGCCCAUGGGG